This 403-nucleotide ribosomal RNA is filed under the name uncultured bacterium. Its description in RNAcentral is "bacterial SSU rRNA". It matches the Rfam family "Bacterial small subunit ribosomal RNA", at positions 28 to 417 of the family's 1533-position model. The record is from RNAcentral.
AACUAACGCUGGCGGCGUGGCUUAGGCAUGCAAGUCGAACGGCAAAGGUCGCAAGACCCUGUAAGUGGCGAAAGGGUGAGUACUGCUCAGGCAAUCUGCCCCUGGGACGGGGAUAGCCGCGGGAAACUGCGGGUAAUACCGGAUGGGCUCACGACGGCCGAGGUCGACGUGAGUAAAGGGUGGGGAUCCGCAAGGACCUUCCGCCCGGGGAGGAGCUUGAGUCCUAUCAGGUAGUUGGCGGGGUAACGGCCCACCAAGCCUACGACGGGUACCCGGACUGAGAGGUUGGCCGGGCACACUGGCACUGAGACACUGGCCAGACUCCUACGGGAGGCUGCAGUCGAGAAUUUUCCGCAAUGGGCGCAAGCCUGACGGAGCGACGCCGCGUGGAGGAAGAAGGCCU